UUAUACAGUUUAAUAAACUGAAGUUUAUUAACUUUCGGGUUUAGCAAGUUUCUAAUUGUGGUAAAUUAAGAGUUAAACUAAAAUCGAACCUAUUUGUGAAAUAUUCACUAAUGCUAUUAUUGUUCCGCUGGAUUAUCGGUCGUUUUUGAUGAAAACAUUCCCCACAUGAUGCGGAUUGCUCUUUAAGAACAUCGUCUCUGUUAAAUGGUCAGAUGUCAGAUGUGAAGGGUUCAGCUGAUGUUAACUUUACCAUGAUGUCAACACAUUUUUGGUCCAUUCCAAGCAAUAUGCGUGCAAAAAUCUCAUUUACUGCGGCCUUUCAUGUGAACCUCCAACUAAUUGGUAAAUUAAGCUUUUCAAAAGUCAUCACAUGCUUUUCAAGCUAAAGAUAUCGAGACGAGAAGACGGCUGGCUAUCAGUGUAUUGAUUAAACUAAUUGUUAAGAGGCUCAACUCACAAAUCAACACCAUCUUUGUAAACUUUCUUCAUCAGGAUCAUCAUUUCCAAAAUCAACAAGCUCAUCUAUCCAUUACUCUCCUUUUCCCCUUGUCUCGCUCAUUUCUCUCUACCAACAUGCAAUUUCUUUGUUUGUCUACGUUAGCCUAUUCCCCCUCUCUAUCUGUAUCUUUCUCUUUCUGUCUCUCCCUUUAUUAAGGUGUAUAUUACUUACAAGUUUCACUUCUAUUCAACUUCUCCAUCAUCAUCAUCAUCAUCUUACAUCUCAAGUGGCCUCUUGUAAGAUUUUUUGCUUUGUUUGAAAACCUGUGGCGACAAAUGGUUACAUCCAGGCAUCCAGGACAAGUCUAUUUGCCAUAAUAGCUCUUUAGCUGGACAAGUUUUUUCCAGUUGUCAUUACAUUUUGGUCAUAUAUUUUGUUGUUAAUCUCUUUCCAUGGAAAUCUUGUUUACCACUAAUUGGAUUUAAUUUUCAAAACACAACCUAAUCAUCUUGUUCAUCUAGAUAAACUUCUCUCUCUCUCUUUCUCUUUCUUUCCCUAUUCCCCUCUCAUUUCUCUCUCUCUCUCUCUUACACUCUCACUCUUACUGUGUGUUUCUUUGAUUGUUUAUCAUGAAAAGCUUGAUGAGUUGCCUUUUCUUCUUUCUCGUGUAAUAUUUACUUAACUUCCAAUAUGGUUGAAACAUUAUCAUCAUCAUUAUUAUUAGCAGCAUUAAUAGUAAUUAAGAGUGUUAGCUGUUAACAAAUUAAAUGAAAAAAAGUGAUAGAGAGACACAAGAAAGAGAGAGACAGAGAGAGCAAGUAAGAUUACACUCAAUACCAAAUCAAAUGAUCGAUUGUUUACCAUUAUUAUAUUAUCACCAUGAUAUUAUAAAGAAGAAAGAAAAUGUCUUGAACAAAAACUCAUCUUCAUCUUGAUCAGAAACAAUGACAUUACAACAAUCAUCUGUAUCAUUUAAAAUGAAACAAUCAAUUCACUUACAAUACAAAAAAAAGUAACACUAAAUUUAAGUAAAAGUUAACCUGACCAAUAGAUGCCGCCUCUAUCCUUAAACCAGAAAAAAUUAAAUGUUAAAACAAAAUAACCUAAAAAAUGUAAAAAAACCAACAAUCGCCAUUUAAAACAUUGAAAAGUGUGUAAUGAUUAAACACUUAU
This is a long non-coding RNA of Tetranychus urticae (two-spotted spider mite), 1612 nucleotides long. RefSeq lists it as uncharacterized. Lineage: Eukaryota; Metazoa; Arthropoda; Arachnida; Trombidiformes; Tetranychidae. The record is from RefSeq and is a predicted model, not a curated record.